Molecule: ribosomal RNA, 819 nt
Filed under: bioreactor metagenome
Description: bacterial SSU rRNA
Rfam family: Bacterial small subunit ribosomal RNA
Source: RNAcentral
CCGCGGUAAUACGGAGGAUCCGAGCGUUAUCCGGAAUUAUUGGGUUUAAAGGGUUCGUAGGCGGCUUUGUAAGUCAGUGGUGAAAUUUUCUAGCUUAACUAGGACACGGCCAUUGAUACUGCGGAGCUUGAAUAAUAUGGAAGUAACUAGAAUAUGUAGUGUAGCGGUGAAAUGCUUAGAUAUUACAUGGAAUACCAAUUGCGAAGGCAGGUUACUACGUAUUUAUUGACGCUGAUGAACGAAAGCGUGGGGAGCGAACAGGAUUAGAUACCCUGGUAGUCCACGCCGUAAACGAUGGAUACUAGCUGUUCGGACUUCGGUCUGAGUGGCUAAGCGAAAGUGAUAAGUAUCCCACCUGGGGAGUACGUUCGCAAGAAUGAAACUCAAAGGAAUUGACGGGGGCCCGCACAAGCGGUGGAGCAUGUGGUUUAAUUCGAUGAUACGCGAGGAACCUUACCAGGGCUUAAAUGUAGAUUGACAGAUUUGGAAACAGAUUUUUCUUCGGACAAUUUACAAGGUGCUGCAUGGUUGUCGUCAGCUCGUGCCGUGAGGUGUCAGGUUAAGUCCUAUAACGAGCGCAACCCCUAUUGUUAGUUACCAGCGCGUUAAGGCGGGGACUCUAGCAAGACUGCCGGUGCAAACCGUGAGGAAGGUGGGGAUGACGUCAAAUCAUCACGGCCCUUACGUCCUGGGCUACACACGUGCUACAAUGGCAAGUACAGAAAGCAGCUACCUGGCAACAGGAUGCGAAUCUCCAAAGCUUGUCUCAGUUCGGAUUGGAGUCUGCAACUCGACUCUAUGAAGCUGGAAUCGCUAGUA